This 463-nucleotide ribosomal RNA is filed under the name uncultured bacterium. RNAcentral's name for it is "partial 16S ribosomal RNA". It matches the Rfam family "Bacterial small subunit ribosomal RNA", at positions 28 to 507 of the family's 1533-position model. The record is from RNAcentral.
GAUGAACGCUGACAGAAUGCUUAACACAUGCAAGUCUUUGGCGAAGCUGUGCUUGCACAGCCUAGCCAAGGCGGACGGGUGAGUAACGCGUAAGGAACUUGCCCUGCAGUCAGGGAUAACAGACGGAAACGACUGAUAAGACCUGGUAAAGUCAGGCGGACUCAUGUCCAGCCUGAUGAAAAGAGAUGCUGCAGGAGAGCCUUGCGUCCUAUUAGCUUGUUGGUGGGGUAACGGCCCACCAAGGCGAUGAUAGGUAGCCGGCCUGAGAGGGUGGACGGCCAAAAGGGGACUGAGAUACGGCACUUACUCCUACGGGAGGAAGCAGUGGGGAAGAGUGGACAAUGGGGGCAACCCUGAUACAGAAAUUCUGUGUGCACGAUGAAGGUUUUCGGAUUGUAAAGUGCUUUCAGCAGGGAAGAAAAAAAUGACGGUACCUGCAGAAGAAGCGACGGCUAAAUACGUG